GACGAACGCUGGCGGCAUGCCUAAUACAUGCAAGUCGAACGCACGAAGUUGAAAAGCUUGCUUUUCGACCAAGUGAGUGGCGGACGGGUGAGUAACACGUGGGUAACCUGCCCAUAAGAGGGGGAUAACAUUCGGAAACGGAUGCUAAUACCGCAUAUUUCAAGUGACCGCAUGGUCGCUUGAUGAAAGGUGGCUUCGGCUACCACUUAUGGAUGGACCCGCGGUGCAUUAGUUAGUUGGUGAGGUAAUGGCUCACCAAGACCAUGAUGCAUAGCCGACCUGAGAGGGUGAUCGGCCACACUGGGACUGAGACACGGCCCAGACUCCUACGGGAGGCAGCAGUAGGGAAUCUUCCGCAAUGGACGAAAGUCUGACGGAGCAAUGCCGCGUGAGUGAAGAAGGUUUUCGGAUCGUAAAACUCUGUUGUUAGAGAAGAACAAGGAUGAGAGUAACUGCUCAUCCCCUGACGGUAUCUAACCAGAAAGCCACGGCUAACUACGUGCCAGCAGCCGCAGUAA
Molecule: ribosomal RNA, 518 nt
Filed under: uncultured bacterium
Lineage: Bacteria
Description: partial 16S ribosomal RNA
Rfam family: Bacterial small subunit ribosomal RNA
Source: RNAcentral